CUGAGGCUCCCAGCUGGGAAACCGUCCCAGAGACGACAUCAGUUGAGAAGUGAUCCCAGACAGGGUCCCUGAGAGGCCACCAGAACACAGGGCCCCGUACUCUCCGAGCAUUGCCGGGGUCAGCGGUGAGCACUGUCCAGUUGACAAAGAGGUUAUACCCCAAGUUCCACUGUGCAUUAGUGGCUCGGAACUUAGAAUUCCAUUUCAUGGAAAUAGUGUUAGAAAGCGAGCCUAUCAGAGCCCACUUAACUCAUAAUCUAGCUGAGGCUUUAAAGAAAUCUUUCUCAAAAAGUAUUCCGAAUCUCCCCGAAGCCUGGCCACUCCCGGCUGGUCUCUGCCUCUGGACUUGCUCUCGCCGAAUCAACCUUCAGGCUGCAGUCAGAGAGACCCUGCGACAGCUCUCUGUGACCGCCCACCGCACAGCCCUGGCGGGCCCCCCGGGAUCCCCGCUUUAGCCCGGCUGCUCCACCUCCCUGCCUGGUUGGUGGUUUCACCGGCUGCCCACCAGCCAGAGCACGAGGGGCCUCCCAGGGCGUGGGCCCCCUGUCCCCCACCCCUGCACCAGCAGACUCUGCUUCCCUGUGUCUGAUCGCACCUGCCCAUCCUUCGGGCUUGGCUGAGAAGAACGUUCCUCAAGUAGAUUUUCUCAGCCCGAGGACUCUCCUCCAGCAAUAUUAGUCCAAGACUCAGGCAGCCCAUUGUCUCACUUGGAACUGUCAGGAAUCAAGUGGUGACGGAGGCUCUCCUUGUCCGGGCACGGUUUUUCCACCACGGAACCGAGACCCAGAGAAGUGAAUCCUUUUCCAACCUCCAGGCCGCUGUGGCCGUGGAUUACUGAACUUGGCAAAAGCCAGCUUCCUCUAGAGGUGGAGAGACUACGGUAAUGACCCCCACGCACCCUUCGUCCGAUCUGAGCUGCUGGCAAUUCGUAGACCUCGUUCUGCCCAUUGAAACCCUCACCUCCCACC
Molecule: long non-coding RNA, 968 nt
Organism: Neofelis nebulosa (Clouded leopard)
Lineage: Eukaryota; Metazoa; Chordata; Mammalia; Carnivora; Felidae
Exons: 3
Source: RefSeq, a predicted model, not a curated record